GAUGAACGCUGGCGGCGUGCUUAACACAUGCAAGUCGAACGGAAAGGCUCCUGCUUGCAGGGGUACUCGAGUGGCGAACGGGUGAGUAACACGUGGGUGAUCUGCCCUGCACUUCGGGAUAAGCCUGGGAAACUGGGUCUAAUACCGGAUAGGACGAUGGUUUGGAUGCCAUUGUGGAAAGUUUUUUCGGUGUGGGAUGAGCUCGCGGCCUAUCAGCUUGUUGGUGGGGUAAUGGCCUACCAAGGCGUCGACGGGUAGCCGGCCUGAGAGGGUGUACGGCCACAUUGGGACUGAGAUACGGCCCAGACUCCUACGGGAGGCAGCAGUGGGGAAUAUUGCACAAUGGGCGCAAGACUGAUGCAGCGACGCCGAGUGGGGGAUGAAGGCCUUCGGGUUGUAAACUCCUUUCGCUAGGGACGAAGCGCAAGUGACGGUACCUGGAGAAGAAGCACCGGCUAACUACGUG
Molecule: ribosomal RNA, 466 nt
Filed under: uncultured bacterium
Lineage: Bacteria
Description: partial 16S ribosomal RNA
Rfam family: Bacterial small subunit ribosomal RNA
Source: RNAcentral